CGGUGCAGUCGACAAACCGGUACGCUUUCGACAGGCUACACAGAAUAACCACGCUAAACUCGCACCAGCUUAAACAUAGCUGAACCUCACUAUUGCUCAGACUUUAACUAGCAGACAUAGAAAGAAGAGAUAAAGGAAAUGUUUUCCUGUGUGUGUUUAAACUCAAAGGCAGACCCUGUUUAAAUAAUAGAGGCCAAGUAAUUUAGGCCUCAUAUUAUUUAAAGGAUCUUAACCACUCAUUAAUUUGUGGUAAAGGUUAAAUCACCACAUAAUUAAUGAGUGACUUGCAUUUUU
Long non-coding RNA from Ipomoea nil (Japanese morning glory), 294 nucleotides. RefSeq lists it as uncharacterized. Lineage: Eukaryota; Viridiplantae; Streptophyta; Magnoliopsida; Solanales; Convolvulaceae. The record is from RefSeq and is a predicted model, not a curated record. The transcript is spliced from 2 exons.